UACGUAGGGUGCAAGCGUUAAUCGGAAUUACUGGGCGUAAAGCGUGCGCAGGCGGUGAUGUAAGACAGAUGUGAAAUCCCCGGGCUCAACCUGGGAACUGCAUUUGUGACUGCAUCGCUAGAGUACGGCAGAGGGGGAUGGAAUUCCGCGUGUAGCAGUGAAAUGCGUAGAUAUGCGGAGGAACACCGAUGGCGAAGGCAGCCCCCUGGGUCAAGAUUGACGCUCAUGCACGAAAGCGUGGGGAGCAAACAGG
RNAcentral lists this ribosomal RNA (253 nucleotides) under uncultured bacterium. RNAcentral describes it as "partial 16S ribosomal RNA". It matches the Rfam family "Bacterial small subunit ribosomal RNA", at positions 524 to 776 of the family's 1533-position model. The record is from RNAcentral.